Molecule: transfer RNA, 74 nt
Filed under: Brachybacterium equifaecis
Lineage: Bacteria; Bacillati; Actinomycetota; Actinomycetes; Micrococcales; Dermabacteraceae
Description: tRNA-Val
Rfam family: tRNA
About the family: Transfer RNA (tRNA) molecules are approximately 80 nucleotides in length.
Source: RNAcentral
GGGGCGUUAGCUCAGCUGGUCAGAGCAAUUGGUUUACACCCAGUCGGUCGGGGGUUCGAAUCCCUCACGCCCCA